UGUGGACUAACUCACAUGAAAUAAAAGGUCAAAAGACCAAAUUGGCAUGGGCUUGGCUUGCAAUAAAAGAACCAAACAUGACCUUGGGCUAAUUAAACUAAAAAAGAGUAUGUGUGGCUAAGUUAUAUGAGGCGAUUACAAACGCACUUCUUGGUAAGAGGUACCUAUUGGCAAGAGACACCUUAAAAGAGUAAGACUUGGCUCAACACAAAAGAGAACAUUAGAUGCUUAUUGAUUGUUGAAUGCAUGAAGAGAUACCUUUUUUAGGAAGAAGUGUUUUUAGUUUAGUGGUUAUGGCAAGUUGCAUAACUACCAUCCAAGCUCCUAUUUUUUAAUUCAAACGGGAAGACUCCUUUAUAAAAACCUCUACAUUGCAAAGAGAUCAAUGGUGAGUAAUCUAAAGAGAAAGUAAACUUUGUCAUUCUUUUGUGGGGUUUUGGGCUCUCUAGUUAGGCAAAAUUGUUCAAGUGUUGGUGCACUUUAAAAUUUUUUGUACAAGUUGGGAAUGUUCUUGUAUCUACUAAGUUGUCUUGUUUACAUUUACAUUCUCUUUACCAUGUGGCUUUUAAGAAGGUUGGUUAAGAUUGGUGUAUUAGUACUACACACUUAGAAAAAAAAAAUUGGUGAUGAUUUUUUGUGGUGUGACA
This 647-nucleotide long non-coding RNA is filed under the name Vitis vinifera (wine grape). RNAcentral describes it as "long non-coding RNA (VVIN_LNC001394)". Lineage: Eukaryota; Viridiplantae; Streptophyta; Magnoliopsida; Vitales; Vitaceae. The record is from RNAcentral.